This 544-nucleotide ribosomal RNA is filed under the name uncultured bacterium. RNAcentral's name for it is "bacterial SSU rRNA". It matches the Rfam family "Bacterial small subunit ribosomal RNA", at positions 18 to 547 of the family's 1533-position model. The record is from RNAcentral.
CAUGGCUCAGANCUGCACGCUCGGUUUGUACAGCCUAACACAUGCAAGUCGAACGGUAACAGGAAGCAGCUUGCUGCUUCGCUGACGAGUGGCGGACGGGUGAGUAAUGUCUGGGAAACUGCCUGAUGGAGGGGGAUAACUACUGGAAACGGUAGCUAAUACCGCAUAACGUCGCAAGACCAAAGAGGGGGACCUUCGGGCCUCUUGCCAUCGGAUGUGCCCAGAUGGGAUUAGCUAGUAGUGGGGUAACGGCUCACCUAGGCGACGAUCCCUAGCUGGUCUGAGAGGAUGACCAGCCACACUGGAACUGAGACACGGUCCAGACUCCUACGGGAGGCAGCAGUGGGGAAUAUUGCACAAUGGGCGCAAGCCUGAUGCAGCCAUGCCGCGUGUAUGAAGAAGGCCUUCGGGUUGUAAAGUACUUUAAGCGAGGAGGAGGCUACCAGUAUUAAUACUACUGGAUAGUGGACGUUACUCGCAGAAUAAGCACCGGCUAACUCUGUGCCAGCAGCCGCGGUAAUACAGAGGGUGCGAGCGUUAAUCG